AAGACCUUGCGCUUUUGGAGCGGCCGAUGUCUGAUUAGCUAGUUGGUGAGGUAAAGGCUUACCAAGGCCUCGAUCAGUAGCUGGUCUGAGAGGACGACCAGCCACACUGGGACUGAGACACGGCCCAGACUCCUACGGGAGGCAGCAGUGGGGAAUUUUGGACAAUGGGGGCAACCCUGAUCCAGCCAUGCCGCGUGAGUGAAGAAGGCCUUCGGGUUGUAAAGCUCUUUCAGCCGGAACGAAAAGGUUACGGUUAAUACCCGUGACUAAUGACGGUACCGGAAGAAGAAGCACCGGCUAACUACGUGCCAGCAGCCGCGGUAAUACGUAGGGUGCGAGCGUUAAUCGGAAUUACUGGGCGUAAAGCGUGCGCAGGCGGUUUUGUAAGUCAGAUGUGAAAUCCCCGGGCUUAACCUGGGAACU
RNAcentral lists this ribosomal RNA (423 nucleotides) under uncultured bacterium. RNAcentral's name for it is "bacterial SSU rRNA". It matches the Rfam family "Bacterial small subunit ribosomal RNA", at positions 207 to 622 of the family's 1533-position model. The record is from RNAcentral.